GACGUAGGGCGCGAGCGUUGUCCGGAAUUAUUGGGCGUAAAGAGCUCGUAGGCGGCUUGUCGCGUCGACUGUGAAAACCCGUGGCUCAACCAUGCGGUCUGCAGUCGAUACGGGCAGGCUAGAAUUCGGUAGGGGAGACUGGAAUUCCUGGUGUAGCGGUGAAAUGCGCAGAUAUCAGGAGGAACACCGGUGGCGAAGGCGACACGCUGGGCCAUACCUGACGCUAAAGCGCGACAGCAUGGGGAGCAAACGGG
Molecule: ribosomal RNA, 254 nt
Filed under: uncultured bacterium
Lineage: Bacteria
Description: partial 16S ribosomal RNA
Rfam family: Bacterial small subunit ribosomal RNA
Source: RNAcentral